RNAcentral lists this ribosomal RNA (1139 nucleotides) under Enterococcus faecalis. RNAcentral describes it as "partial 23S ribosomal RNA". It matches the Rfam family "Bacterial large subunit ribosomal RNA", at positions 1769 to 2911 of the family's 2925-position model. The record is from RNAcentral. Lineage: Bacteria; Bacillati; Bacillota; Bacilli; Lactobacillales; Enterococcaceae.
CAAAGCGGUUGCAAAAAAUCGGUGGCUGCGACUGUUUAAUAAAAACACAGCACUCUGCAAACACGAAAGUGGACGUAUAGGGUGUGACGCCUGCCCGGUGCUGGAAGAUUAAAUGAUGGGGUGCAAGCUCUUGAUUGAAGUCCCAGUAAACGGCGGCCGUAACAAUAACGGUCCUAAGGUAGCGAAAUUCCUUGUCGGGUAAGUUCCGACCUGCACGAAUGGCGUAAUGAUGGCCAGGCUGUCUCCACCCGAGACUCAGUGAAAUUGAACUCGCUGUGAAGAUGCAGUGUACCCGCGGCAAGACGGAAAGACCCCGUGAACCUUUACUAUAGCUUGACACUGAACAUUGAGCCUUGAUGUGUAGGAUAGGUGGGAGGCUUUGAAGUGUGGACGCCAGUCUGCAUGGAGCCGACCUUGAAAUACCACCCUUUAAUGUUUGAUGUUCUAACGUUGACCCGUAAUCCGGGUUGCGGACAGUGUCUGGUGGGUAGUUUGACUGGGGCGGUCUCCUCCUAAAGAGUAACGGAGGAGCACGAAGGUUGGCUAAUCCUGGUCGGACAUCAGGAGGUUAGUGCAAUGGCAUAAGCCAGCUUGACUGCGAGCGUGACGGCGCGAGCAGGUGCGAAAGCAGGUCAUAGUGAUCCGGUGGUUCUGAAUGGAAGGGCCAUCGCUCAACGGAUAAAAGGUACUCCGGGGAUAACAGGCUGAUACCGCCCAAGAGUUCAUAUCGACGGCGGUGUUUGGCACCUCGAUGUCGGCUCAUCACAUCCUGGGGCUGAAGUAGGUCCCAAGGGUAUGGCUGUUCGCCAUUUAAAGUGGUACGCGAGCUGGGUUUAGAACGUCGUGAGACAGUUCGGUCCCUAUCUGCCGUGGGCGCUGGAGAACUGAGGGGGGCUGCUCCUAGUACGAGAGGACCGGAGUGGACGCAUCACUGGUGUUCGGGUUGUCAUGCCAAUGGCACUGCCCGGUAGCUAAAUGCGGAAGAGAUAAGUGCUGAAAGCAUCUAAGCACGAAACUUGCCCCGAGAUGAGUUCUCCCUGACUCCUUGAGAGUCCUGAAGGAACGUUGAAGACGACGACGUUGAUAGGCCGGGUGUGUAAGCGCAGCGAUGCGUUGAGCUAACCGGUACUAAUGAACCG